ACCAUUGGAUUUUGAAACGGCAACGUUUUCCGCAAUCAACGUUUCAUCAAUCUGCUUAACGUUCAUCCGCGGUUGGUGAAACGGCUCCACUGUGUCGAACGCAAGCGUCUGGUCUUUGAAUUUAACGAAUAUCUCGACGGAACUGUAGUAAACCGAGAUUCUGUGGUUAGGGUUGUGCGAUUGGAUGGUGAAUUGGAAUGUAGCUGACAUGUGAUUGUCGUUGGUAAGGUUAAAGUUUUGAACCGAGGCGUUUUCAACAGUGUAACGAAGUUUCUUGGGUUUGGUUUCAAGCCAUGUAAUGAGAAAACCUACAGCUGCCAUGAAGAUUAGAGUUAGUAUAACGAGAAAAAUGUAGCAUAUAAGGCUAGGGCGGCGCAAUGGCUGCGCUGGCGAAGUUUCCAUCGGCAUCAAUUCUAGCUUGGGCUUGUGACACAUUGGUUUAUAUGUAUGUUAAUGUUUGUAUAUAUAGAGUAUAUACUUGUGAUGCAAGAUACUUGGAAAGUGCCUUGUAUUCUGAUGUUCUUUUCUUCAGCUGUAGAGCGAUCAGAGAUAUAUGAGUUAUUUGUUAUUGUCCCUUUAGAACAUUUUUGUCCCAUAUACUUUGCUUUCCCAUCGACUUUGCUUCUAGCAAUUGUAAGACAACACUCAAACUGGCAAGUGGGAGUGUGGGACAUGACCCUAUAUAAUAUUUUUAUGUUUAAAAGCUUAUUUUCAAGAAGACAGAUCAUUUUAGGCCUCACACCAAAGCUUAUUCUUAGUGUCAUUAAUUAAAAUUAACUUGUUACAAUAGGAACAAAUAUCACCUGCGAAGAUCUCGUCUAUUUGAUCAUUCUUGUUCUUAUUGUCAUUAGUAUGCACAUAAAAAUUGUAGCACCUUAACAUUUGUUUAUAAACUAGGUUUUAACUCGUGGUAUACAGUGAUCGAUUUUUAUAAUCAAAAAAUUUAAAUUUUAAGUUGUAUAUGUUUUAUUAAUAUUGUUUAUUUUGUUUAGUAUUUAGUAUUGUAUAAUUGUAUUUUGAUUGUAAGUUCCAAGAAAUUUCACUUGUAAUAUAUCGUCUCAUAUUAAUAUCUAUCCAAAUCCGUCACACUAUAUAUCCCCGUCCAACAAUAUUAAACAUCAUUUUGUUAUUCUUCUUUUAACUUAUAUUUCUAUUUAAAAGACAUCUGAUUCAACUCAAUUUAAAGUUUUUUUAAAAUGGUUCACAUAAUAUAUAUAUUUUUAAUUGUUAUAGAUCUCAGAAAUUAUUAAUAUUAUCAACUUUUUAUAGAAUUUAUAUAUUAAAAC
This 1286-nucleotide small RNA is filed under the name Arabidopsis thaliana (thale cress). RNAcentral's name for it is "ATSL254650". Lineage: Eukaryota; Viridiplantae; Streptophyta; Magnoliopsida; Brassicales; Brassicaceae. The record is from RNAcentral.